Molecule: long non-coding RNA, 1426 nt
Filed under: Sarcophilus harrisii (Tasmanian devil)
Lineage: Eukaryota; Metazoa; Chordata; Mammalia; Dasyuromorphia; Dasyuridae
Description: lncRNA (ENSSHAG00000028073.1)
Source: RNAcentral
UUCCAACAAGUUUAAGCAGUAUUCUGCAGUGCUGUUUUCAAUUUAAGCUUUUUAGUUUUGAGAUCUUUAGAUCCGAGUUUGUUUUUUAAGAGACUUCCUAAGGAAGGAUCUUUAGAAACAGAGGUAUUUUUUUUUCCAUUUUGCCACAAGCCUUAGUUUCCCCCAUUCUAUAGCUCCUCAUCUUUCUCUAGAUGUCUCUAGAGAUGGAGAGAUGACAAAAUGCUCCCUGAUUAGGGGGACUUUUGUCAGAGAAUGUAGGAAUUCCCAUUAAGGCAUCCCUGAGAGAAUUCUGCUCGUGUUGAGCUCCAACGACUCAAAUCUUCCCAGGUAUUUGAGUGUUCUAAUUAUAGAAUAGACAACAAGAAAAGGCUUUACCUCAUUGAGAUUCUUGGGGAUUUCUGGUCAGGGAACCAAAAUUAUGAAGUGCAAAUGAUGAGGAUAAUGAUAGUGAAGAGGUGCAAGAAUUGGGGUGGGGAAUCCCUUCUGGUCAGCACAGAUCCAAUGCAAAAGAGUUUGCAAACCCGAAAAUCUGUAUAGCAAAAAAGGGAAUUUUAUGGUUCACUAAGAAGGAAGCUCUCUUAGUGGGCAAAACUCCUCAUUAGGAAUUUGGCAAAGGUGUGUUAACAGAGACCCCUGGUUAUAUAGGCAAAUGUUAGCCGGGAUUGGAGCUGUCUGAGCUAAUCAAUAGAGGACCAUCAGAGAUCUCCAAUUAAAUAAAAUCACUUAACUGGGAGUUUGAAAGCUUUUCCCAGAGUCUGGGAACUCCCUGGAGGGGCUCUGGGUCACCCCCAAAAGAUCUGUUUCAAUGGAGGGUGAUUUGACCAUGAUCUCCAAUUGAAUAAAUUAACUUGGGAAGGACUUGUCUGGGAAAGUAGCCUCAAAGUCGGUUCACUGAGAUCAGUGAGGAAAAAGAAGACUGACUCCCAUCAGACAAAACACAGCAUCCUCAAGAAAGUUGAAAUCACAGGAGUCUCUCUUUGCAUGGAAAAAGAAUGUGCUCAAAGAGAAGCCAACCCAGAACUUGAGAAGAUCAGUGAUGGGGAGUUCUUAAACUCAACAAAUAGGGUCUUAAAACUGAUCAGAGACCAACUAUCCUGGGAAUGGAUUCUUCCAGCUUUGGGAUUUGCUCAUGAGAAAAAUAUGUGAAAGAAAAUAUUUAGAGAUGGGGCUAUAAAGGUAUGUUGAAAUGGGUAGAACGACUGAAUCAAGUUAUAAUUAUUCAAAAGACAAUGGGGUAGAUUAUUCUUAAUUCAAGAUUUCUCAAGUUCAACAGUUCCUAUAAAAUCUUCAGAGGAAGAAUAGUUUCUUGACUGCUUGCAAUUUGGAGAAGGAAGACAUAGCCACAGCAUGAUGAGGCAGGGAAUUGGGACCUUGUCAACCUUCCCCAAUAUUGCUCUGAGUUGUUUAGAUGGUACAGAGCUCAGGU